This is a long non-coding RNA of Leptidea sinapis, 299 nucleotides long. RefSeq lists it as uncharacterized. Lineage: Eukaryota; Metazoa; Arthropoda; Insecta; Lepidoptera; Pieridae. The record is from RefSeq and is a predicted model, not a curated record. The transcript has 2 exons.
AUUAAUUACUAGAGCUUACAAAGCCCUCAGAGCCCAGAAGAGGCAAGUGGAACGGAAGAAGUGGCAGGUGGACCGGAAGAUGCUACGGGAGGAAGUGCAGCAGAUGAGGGAGCUGCAAGAGAGGAGGCAGGAAUGGAAGCUGGAGAACGUCGCAAACGUAGUAUGGAUUAUAAAGUCUUCAAUUACGUUGAUGCUCCAAUAUGAGAAGAUACUUCUUGGUGUUUUAUAUAAUGACAUUAUAAUAUGAAUUAAUAUAUUAUUAUGUGAUUUUGUGGAAAUAUAAAAUGUAACUGUAAUAA